GGGCGGUUAGCUCAGCGGUAGAGCACUGUCUUCACACGGCAGGAGUCACUGGUUCGAACCCAGUACCGCCCACCA
Molecule: transfer RNA, 75 nt
Filed under: Betaproteobacteria bacterium
Lineage: Bacteria; Pseudomonadati; Pseudomonadota; Betaproteobacteria
Description: tRNA-Val
Rfam family: tRNA
About the family: Transfer RNA (tRNA) molecules are approximately 80 nucleotides in length. Their secondary structure includes four short double-helical elements and three loops (D, anti-codon, and T loops).
Source: RNAcentral